This is a long non-coding RNA of Onychomys torridus (southern grasshopper mouse), 1095 nucleotides long. RefSeq lists it as uncharacterized. The transcript is spliced from 4 exons. NCBI's taxonomy places the organism in Eukaryota, Metazoa, Chordata, Mammalia, Rodentia, Cricetidae. The record is from RefSeq and is a predicted model, not a curated record.
CUCCCGGCGAGGGGCGGGGCUGGGUGGCAGCGUGCAGGUGGCCAAGCUCCUGCCCGCGGGAGACUGGUCUCUGCGCCGCCUUCCCCGCGAUCUUGCGGUCUGGGUCCGCGCACCGUCCCCGGUGCCUGUCACUGGAGCGGGCACCUGGCGCUCCCGCGCUGCUGCGGCGCGCAGAGCUGGCUGCGGGGCUGGGGAAUCCGCGGCCACCGCCUCUAAUCCGCCCUUAAGUAGUCUCCGCCUGCGUCACGCCAGGUCGGCGGAGGGGAGCAGAGCGCGGCGUGCCGCUGUCGCCGAGCGUCGGAGCCCGAGGGGCCGUGGCCGCGCGCUGCGGGGGGGGGGGGGGGGGAGGAGACGGUCUGGAGUCCCCCGCUGCGCCGGGGAUGGGGAGACCAAGGACUGCAGCGCCCCUUGGGGCUUCUGGCGCUCCCAGGUAGCCUCACCUGGGCCGUCGGCCUCCCGCAGGAGGAGCAGAGUCGUUGGUUCCACAAGAACCUGUUAACAACUCGACUCUAAAUAGCUGGUCUUCCAGAUUGCUGAUUUUCAAAGGGGGAUGUUAGAAUUGCCUAGGGCUGGGCUGCCUAAUAGAAAUCCAAUCUGGGAUCCCACCCUUGAAGAGGAACAAAGCUGUAUUUAGUGAAACCUUACUCUAUUGCCCAGCUGCUGGGAUGACGAAAGACAAGCAGCCUCCUAGCCUAGUAGUUUGGAGAAUGCCCACUUGUUCUUCAAAGAGAGAUGUACAAUGCCAGGAAUUUGCAUGAAAAGCAUUUCUUGCUUCUGCCAUUACAGUCUAAAUGAUCUCUAGCUAACAGCUGAAACCCAAGAAUGCUGAAGUGGGAGCAGCGUCUGACUUUGGGAUUAUCUCAUUCACAUCUCCUUUAUAUAUUUUAGUUCAGCUGUUGAACUCUCUCAAAAUGGCAGUCUGAAAACAACGAACUAUUACAGAUGAAACUAAGCUAUAUGUGUAUACUUCCUAAGGCUUUGUCUUCCUAUGAGGAAUCAGAAAGCUGCUAUUUUUCAGGUAUUAGGGAUCUGUGUUUCUAAACUCUUGGUUAAGAAUUUAAAUAACUUUUAUUUUUCUUUCUUUCUUUUUUUUGA